AAACUAAAUUGUGUAACACCUGUAAUGUCAACGUAUAGUCCUCUUUGAUAAGCCUAUGAAAGACGGAUUAUAAAAUUAAUUAAAAUGAACACAAUGAACGGUCGCGUUUCAACAGAGGUUUGAAGAAGUAAUCCUUUAAGUUAAUCUUCUUAAUCCGACUGGUGGUGUAUGACAAACAACAACAACUUAUACAUUCUUUCUCCAGACAAACGCAAAACAUUUAUAUAUACUAGUACGUAGAGGUUAUUAUUCAUGAUUACCCGGGACACUGGUUUACAUAUUCUGUACGUGGAGGUUAUAAUUAAUGAUAACCCGGAACACUAAAAUCAUUUGAACUUGAAGGUAAGAGCUUUUCACUAUUUUUGAUGAGAGCUUAAUAUCUUCCGUAUUUAACAUGUUCUCCUGUCCAGAAUAUGUUACACAGUAUUUAUCCGAGUCUAGUCAAUAUAACCUUAGCAACACAAUAGUACUACCAAUUGUUACCGAGAAAAUACUUUGUCCUGCAAUCAGAUUUUCCAAAUAACGUACUCAAAUAUUUUUUUGGAUUAUUUGUACGUGUAUUUGUACUUGUACAAACAAUGACUGCCGUUACUCUGCUUCUAUAGUGAUCAAAAAGUAUUGUGAGUAUUUCGUGUUAUGUUGCCGUUCAUUUUGAGGUUCUAUGUUCAGUACAGUUUCUUGUAUGUUCCUCCAUUAAUUGUGAAGCACUACCUGUAGGGUAUAAUUGCAGCAACUAUUAUACACCUUAAAACAAAAGGGUAUAUAUAAACUUAUGAGCAAAUGGCUGAUUUAAGGCAAUAUUAUUUUCAAUUCAUAGGAUAUUCAUUACAGUUUUAAACCAUACAAUUAAAUAAUUAUAAUGUGCUUAGGUGUAAUGAAAAGUUAGGUAGGAACUGAAUAAUAUAUAUACAAGUAAAAUUUGAAAUUUAAUUUUAAUUACGGCACCAGAUUCGCAUUCCCACAAUUAAUGUAUCUUCAGUGAUGCUCGAGGCCAAAUAUUUGAAAAUCCAAGGCUUAAUAAAAAUACGAAAAGUUAUAACCAAAAAAAGGGCAAAAAAGUAUAAACAAACCCAGGCAAAGAAUCAGAUCUUUGACUAAAAAGUAUAUAAACAAACCCAGGCAAAGAAUCAAAUCUUUGCACGAGGGAGAUACAUUCCUUUAUUUUAAAUAAUUUUAAAAAAAAUUGUAACACAACAUCCGUAUUUUCAUGCCAGUAUUUAAAUCAGUUUUCAUUUUAAAUGAUAUUGCUUAGUUGGAGGUGCUAUUCUUACACAAGAAGUCAUGAUGAAAAAAAUAUUUAAAAGGGUGUUAUGUAAAUCUGUUCAGAAUUAGAACAAUUCAACAAUAUACAUAAGUUUUCCUUUACAAUUUAAAACUACCUAAUUUUAUAGAUAUUGGCAUUAGUUUUAAAAUGUACUUAAUACACCUUGAAAACUUUUGUUUUUGAAUCUUCAGUUUUCAUAAAAAUUUAAUAUUCAAAUGCAUGGUAAAAAUAAGGAACUAAAAAUGUAUUUCAAAUUAUCACUUGUACUGAACUUGUGAUCAAUCUCUUAUCCUUUUUGUGUGCGGCAUUUGCAUCUCAUAGUACAUUUUUCUAGCCAGAGUUAUAAUGUGUUUAUACACAAUCAACGAGUAUGCUUUUCGUCCCGUUUCUAAAGCUCAUACCAAUAUUUUUUCCGACCAUUAUAACGGGGAAUAACCGGAUAUUUACUGACAAAACAAGCAUUUGAGAAAUUAAUUAAUUUCACAUGUAAUCUUUAAGAAUCUUUUAUAUCAAUAGAAGUGUAAUUCAAACAUUAACAUAAAAGAUUUUUCCUAUAGAUCUGUAACAGUUAGUUUUCUGUGACCAAUGACUUUUUAUUCAAGUAUAGUCGAGAGUGAUACCUGAAAACGAUCAGCCAUUUAGUUAUUUAAUUUGAGUCUUUUUGUCCAUAAUAGUCCUGUAAUAGCAAAAAUUUACUUCAGUGAUGAUACAGAUAAUAGACCCAUAUCAGUUUAGCAUACGAUCCUGGAAAAAUUUGGAAAGGAACUCCAUUGAUUAAUCGAUAACAGAAUGUAUUUGCAUUCUAAUUUGGGCUUAUAUGUAGACGUUACAAACGAAGAAAAGAAGGGGAUAUAUAUUCUAGCUUUUUCAUUGUAUUGUUAAAUCAUAUCGGCUUAAGCACAUUUUGUAUGAUUUAAUAACAAUAAUUGUUUUAAUAACUUUGUCAAACUUUAUUAACCUCAUCAGAAAAUAAACCGUCAUUGCAGUGUGUAAUAAUGUGUAUAUGAUAAUCACUUACUCGGAGUUCUCAGUCUGGAUUAUAUUGGUGUCUCAGGUUGAUAUGUUUGUAAUAUAGAAAAAAAAGAUGAUAUUAUAUUGUCCUUUUAAUUUUUCAGAGACAGCUAGAUAUGGGUACAACUGAAGCUAAACCAGUUUGCCAGCAUUCCUGUAGCAGUGCAGUGACUGUAUACACAGAUAUUGAACAGGAAGACUGGAUACGUAAUAAUACGACUGGGACAAACACAAAAAACAACAAAUCAAAUACGGAUCACCAAGUUAGCUCUUCCAAACGCAAUGAACAAUGCAGUAUCGUUAGUAAUAAAGUCAUCAGAACAAACAAAACAGUAUCACCAAGUACCAGCAAUAUUACAAACGUUGUGGAAUUAUACGGAAGCCGAUAAGGGCCAUUCAAAAAAAAUAUUUUAUGUCGUAAUUACGACAUAGCAUGUCGUAAUUUCGAC
This 2724-nucleotide long non-coding RNA is filed under the name Mytilus galloprovincialis (Mediterranean mussel). Lineage: Eukaryota; Metazoa; Mollusca; Bivalvia; Mytilida; Mytilidae. The record is from RNAcentral.